This 37-nucleotide transfer RNA is filed under the name Phlegmariurus linifolius. RNAcentral describes it as "partial transfer RNA-Phe". RNAcentral also lists the same sequence under 5 other names. Lineage: Eukaryota; Viridiplantae; Streptophyta; Lycopodiopsida; Lycopodiales; Lycopodiaceae. The record is from RNAcentral.
GCCGGGAUAGCUCAGUUGGUAGAGCAGAGGAUUGAAA